Molecule: ribosomal RNA, 256 nt
Filed under: uncultured archaeon
Lineage: Archaea
Description: partial 16S ribosomal RNA
Rfam family: Bacterial small subunit ribosomal RNA
Source: RNAcentral
UAAUACGUAGGGAGCGAGCGUUGUCCGGAAUCAUUGGGCGUAAAGAGCGCGUAGGUGGGUAGGUCAGUCUGCUGUGAAAGUCAAAGGCUCAACCUUUGAAAGCCGGUGGAUACUGCUUAUCUAGAGUACGGAAGAGGCGAGUGGAACUCCUGGUGUAGCGGUGGAAUGCGCAGAUAUCAGGAAGAACACCGAUAGCGAAGGCAGCUCGCUGGGACGUUACUGACACUGAGGCGCGAAAGCGUGGGGAGCAAACAGG